GAGAGCCCGGUGCGUCGAGAGGCGCACGCCGGGUUCGGCGAGCGGCCCGCAGAAACGGACCGGUGGCAACACCGGAACCGCGCUGCGGGCCGACUCAUCC
This 100-nucleotide non-coding RNA is filed under the name Tamaricihabitans halophyticus. Lineage: Bacteria; Bacillati; Actinomycetota; Actinomycetes; Pseudonocardiales; Pseudonocardiaceae. The record is from RNAcentral.